GAUGAAGAACGUAGCAAAAUGCGAUACUUGGUGUGAAUUGCAGAAUCCAGUGAACCAUCGAGUUUUUGAACGCAAGUUGCGCCCGAAGCCUUUUGGCCGAGGGCACGUCUGCCUGGGCGUCACGCAUCGCGUCGCCCCCCACAAUUCUCCGUAAAGGGAACGUGUGUUUUGGGGGCGGAUAUUGGUCUCCCGUGCUCAUGGCGUGGUUGGCCGAAAUAGGAGUCCUUUCGAUGGACGCACGAACUAGUGGUGGUCGUAAAAACCCUCGUCUUUUGUUUCGUGCUGUUGCUCGCAAGGUAAACUCUUUAAAAACCCCAAUGUGUCGUCUCUUGACGACGCUUCGACCGCGACCCCAGGUCAGGCGGGACUACCCGCUGAGUUUAAGCAUAUCAAUAAGCGGAGGA
This 404-nucleotide unclassified non-coding RNA is filed under the name soil metagenome. RNAcentral describes it as "partial contains 5.8S ribosomal RNA, internal transcribed spacer 2, and large subunit ribosomal RNA". The stretch from base 1 to 122 matches the Rfam family "5.8S ribosomal RNA", at positions 35 to 154 of the family's 154-position model. The record is from RNAcentral.